GAUAAAAUGAAGAAGAAUUGUCAUCUUCUUCCAAGAGCUCUCCCGUCCAUACAUCUUCCAUAAGAGGAAGUGUUUUUCUUUUCUCUUUAAGCCAAGAUUCAAGACAAUUCAAGUUGUUGAAUUCCUGAAUCAACUUUGAGAAAGUUUUUCUCAUCGCUUCCAUAACUUAGAAACCAAGAAAGAACUCUUCCUUCUUCCUUUCUUGUUUUUGGCUGAAUCACUUGGAAAGGAAAUUAGAGAACGUUGCUUGGAUUGAGAUGCUAUAAUUAUGGAGCUUGUGUGGAUAAGUUAGAGGGUCAACACUUAGUGGCCUAGCUCCCAGGAUUAGGCAAUUGAAAUUGAUUUUGCACCUAAGAGUUACUCGGCCGGUUCGGACGAGUCAACUCUAUUUUGUUGAAUAAAGGGUUUGAAGCUUGAACUGAAUCAGUCAAACCAAACCAAUCAUUAUUUUGAUUAUCAAUUAAACUGGUUCGACCAGUUUGGUCUGAUUCUAACAACACUGUAUUCAAUCUAUUGUGAUUGAUUGAAUUUUUGUUUUGGUUAGAUAUGAUUGGUUAAAUUUUUGGUGGGCUCUGAUUGGUUGAGAUGUUAAUGGGAUAUAUUAAUUGGUUGAAGAUUGGCAAUAUAUUAAUUAAUAUAUCAUUGUUCUGGUUUAAAAUUGGUGAUAUGGUUUGAACUGAACUAGUCAAACCGAGCCAAUCAUUGUUCUGAUUAUCGAUUACUGUAUGAAAUCAAUUGUAAUUGAUUGAAUUUUUUGUAUGGUUAAAUAUGAUUGGUUGAAUUUUUUGUGGGC
This is a long non-coding RNA of Hevea brasiliensis (rubber tree), 793 nucleotides long. RefSeq lists it as uncharacterized. The transcript has 2 exons. NCBI's taxonomy places the organism in Eukaryota, Viridiplantae, Streptophyta, Magnoliopsida, Malpighiales, Euphorbiaceae. The record is from RefSeq and is a predicted model, not a curated record.